AGGUUCGUAGGAGGAGCCUUAUGUCGUAGGCCCUUGCCCAGUAGAUAAGAAAAGAUGUUCCGAAUCGGGAAGCCUACUCCUCGGGCUAUUUGGUACUUUAUAUUAUAUGCUUUCCGCGGCGAAAGACUCUUUCUAAAGACUAAAAAAAUGGUACAAGAAUUCCAAUUUUCAGUCGGGCGGAAUGAAAAAGAAAACAUUGAUUGAGAUCAAUUGAAGGAACACCAGCUCACGAACUUUGCCAAUCGAAUGGGCAGAACCUGACUCAUCAGAAGAGCUUCCGCCACCAAUCAAAUCAGAAUGAAAAUGUUUGGUUAUAUUUCAGAAUGUCUCAUAAUGAACGGAGAGGUUACC
RNAcentral lists this long non-coding RNA (351 nucleotides) under Gossypium barbadense (sea-island cotton). RNAcentral's name for it is "long non-coding RNA (GBAR_LNC002536)". The record is from RNAcentral. Lineage: Eukaryota; Viridiplantae; Streptophyta; Magnoliopsida; Malvales; Malvaceae.